This 180-nucleotide ribosomal RNA is filed under the name [Borrelia] lusitaniae. RNAcentral describes it as "Borreliella lusitaniae 5S-23S ribosomal RNA intergenic spacer". Lineage: Bacteria; Pseudomonadati; Spirochaetota; Spirochaetia; Spirochaetales; Borreliaceae. The record is from RNAcentral.
GGGUUUUUUAUUUUAUACUUCAAAUCUUGAAUUUAUUUUUUAUGUUUUUAAAUGUUUAUUUUUUUGAGUGUUUGAUUUAAAAAAAUAAAAUAGAUAUUGACAUGGAUUAAACAAAGAUAUAUAUUAUUCUAUGUUGCAUAAACAAAUUGGCAAAGUAGAGAUGGAAGAUAAAAAUAUGGU